This 556-nucleotide long non-coding RNA is filed under the name Gossypium barbadense (sea-island cotton). RNAcentral's name for it is "long non-coding RNA (GBAR_LNC010759)". The record is from RNAcentral. Lineage: Eukaryota; Viridiplantae; Streptophyta; Magnoliopsida; Malvales; Malvaceae.
AAUCUUUUAACGUACAUUUAUAAAUCAUUCAAAAAAGUCGUUUAACCCUCAUCACCAGGGUCACAGGGGCGAAGCUAGGGGGGCUUGCAUGGGCUCCGGCCCCCCUAAAAUAUAAAUUUACUCUUUUGAUCCUUAAAAUUUUUUAAAAAUUUUAAAUUAGUAAAGGUAAAAUUGCACUUUGGCCCCCCUAAAAUUGUAAAAAUUCGAUUUAAUCCUUUACAAAUUAUAAAAAUAUAAACUAUAAAAAAUUAAAAAUUUAUCCGACUCCCCUAAAUAUUUAUUCUAGCUUUGCCCCUACAGGGUCAUGCUUUCAGUUCAAGCCAUGGCGUCGACUACUACAGCUAUUAUUAUUAUUAUUAUUAUUAUUAAUUCAUUUUAAGUUUGAUAAUUUUAAUUAAAUGUUUGUAAAUACUUCUCUGAAUGUGUGUGCAUGUCUUUUUUUUUUAACAUUUAAUGUUGGUUAAAAUAUGUCUUAUUAUAUUUUUAGUAAAUUUAAAAUUUAAUAUAUGUAUUUUUAUUUAUAGAAAUUUAAUUACUCUAUUUUUUAAUUUUAAAA